GAUGAACGCUGGCGGCGUGCCUAAUACAUGCAAGUCGAGCGAACGGACGAGAAGCUUGCUUCUCUGAUGUUAGCGGCGGACGGGUGAGUAACACGUGGAUAACCCACCUAUAAGACUGGGAUAACUUCGGGAAACCGGAGCUAAUACCGGAGAAUAUUUUGAACCGCAUGGUUCAAAAGUGAAAGACGGUCUUGCUGUCACUUAUAGAUGGAUCCGCGCUGCAUUAGCUAGUUGGUAAGGUAACGGCUUACCAAGGCAACGAUGCAUAGCCGACCUGAGAGGGUGAUCGGCCACACUGGAACUGAGACACGGUCCAGACUCCUACGGGAGGCAGCAGUAGGGAAUCUUCCGCAAUGGGCGAAAGCCUGACGGAGCAACGCCGCGUGAGUGAUGAAGGUCUUCGGAUCGUAAAACCCUGUUAUUAGGGAAGAACAUAUGUGUAAGUAACUGUGCACAUCUUGACGGUACCUAAUCAGAAAGCCACGGCUAACUACGUG
RNAcentral lists this ribosomal RNA (497 nucleotides) under uncultured bacterium. RNAcentral's name for it is "partial 16S ribosomal RNA". It matches the Rfam family "Bacterial small subunit ribosomal RNA", at positions 28 to 507 of the family's 1533-position model. The record is from RNAcentral.